AGAACGAACGCUGGCGGCAGGCCUAACACAUGCAAGUCGAACGCCCCGCAAGGGGAGUGGCAGACGGGUGAGUAACACGUGGGAACGUACCCUUCGGUUCGGAACAACUCAGGGAAACUUGAGCUAAUACCGGAUACGUCCGAGAGGAGAAAGAUUUAUCGCCGAAGGAUCGGCCCGCGUCUGAUUAGCUAGUUGGUGAGGUAACGGCUCACCAAGGCGACGAUCAGUAGCUGGUCUGAGAGGAUGAUCAGCCACAUUGGGACUGAGACACGGCCCAAACUCCUACGGGAGGCAGCAGUGGGGAAUAUUGGACAAUGGGCGCAAGCCUGAUCCAGCCAUGCCGCGUGAGUGAUGAAGGCCUUAGGGUUGUAAAGCUCUUUUACCUGGGAAGAUAAUGACGGUACCAGGAGAAUAAGCCCCGGCUAACUUCGCGCCAGCAGCCGC
RNAcentral lists this ribosomal RNA (444 nucleotides) under uncultured bacterium. RNAcentral describes it as "SSU rRNA". It matches the Rfam family "Bacterial small subunit ribosomal RNA", at positions 26 to 518 of the family's 1533-position model. The record is from RNAcentral.